CCAUCGUCACUUAUCACACGAAAACGCUCAUAUCUCCCUCUAUAUUACGUGGUUUGGUCAAACCUUCCACACAAAAAACUCUCACGUAGAUGAGACGCAACUGCCCAUAUAAAAAUUUUGAGACAUUUACCUUUCGACAAUAGGGCUCCCAUAGGGAAUAAUAACGGUAAAUAGUAGACACGUUGUGAUUCCGAUGACUAAAAUUUACAAACCAAAAUUCGACCGUCUGAUAUGAUCAUUAUGACGAAAGAUGUCUAUGGUAAAAAAUUAAACUGGAUUUGACAACGUUAAGGGCUCGAUCGAAACGGUCAACUCUAAUCGGAAAUAAGAAAACUGCAUUUUGAAGCCCUAAACGGACUCGGAUGGCCAAAAAGGCCCAUACAUCAUGGCAUUAGCGAUGAGUUUGACUCGUAGGGCCGUUACGCUUCCGGAAAGGUAUCACAAUGGUCAAUCGGACACCAAAAACCAAAUCUGCAGCAUAGUGAAUAAUAAGGGUAAAUUGCAUUGACCGCAACUAUCGGUACCGAGACUUUACCAGAAUACCGUGAUUNNNNN
RNAcentral lists this long non-coding RNA (555 nucleotides) under Fragaria vesca (wild strawberry). Its description in RNAcentral is "long non-coding RNA (FVES_LNC002886)". Lineage: Eukaryota; Viridiplantae; Streptophyta; Magnoliopsida; Rosales; Rosaceae. The record is from RNAcentral.